RNAcentral lists this ribosomal RNA (418 nucleotides) under uncultured bacterium. RNAcentral describes it as "bacterial SSU rRNA". It matches the Rfam family "Bacterial small subunit ribosomal RNA", at positions 358 to 773 of the family's 1533-position model. The record is from RNAcentral.
GGAAUAUUGGACAAUGGGCGCAAGCCUGAUCCAGCCAUGCCGCGUGAAGGAUGACUGCCCUAUGGGUUGUAAACUUCUUUUAUGUAGGAAGACACCCCUUUUCGUGAAGAGGGCUGACGGUCCUACCGGAAUAAGGACCGGCUAACUCCGUGCCAGCAGCCGCGGUAAUACGGAGGGUCCAAGCGUUAUCCGGAUUCAUUGGGUUUAAAGGGUGCGUAGGCGGGAAAUGAAGUCAGUGGUGAAAGCCCACAGCUCAACUGUGGAACUGCCAUUGAAACUGAUUUUCUUGAAUAUGAUUGAAGUGGGCGGAAUAUGACAUGUAGCGGUGAAAUGCUUAGAUAUGUCCUAGAACACCGAUAGCGAAGGCAGCUCACUAAGUCAUCAUUGACGCUGAGGCACGAAAGCGUGGGGAGCGAAC